GCUCGGUCACCCGGGAGGAGCUCAGAGUAGAGCCGCUGCUCCUCCACAUCGAGAGGGGUCAGCUGAGGUGGCUUGGGCAUCUGUUUCGGAUGCCUCCGGAACGCCUUCCUGGGAAGGUGUUCCGGUCCCGUCCCUCCGGGAGGAGACCCCGGGGAAGACCUAGGACACGCUGGAGGGACUAUGUCUCCCGGCUGGCCUGGGAACGCCUCGGUGUCCCCCCGGAAGAGCUAGAGGAAGUGUCUGGGGAGAGGGAAGUCUGGGCAUCCCUGCUUAGACUGCUGCCCCCGCGACCCGGCCCCGGAUAAGCGGAAGAAGAUGGUAUGGUAUGGUAUGGAGGUCGUCAAUUACUAAGCUUUACACCCCCAGCAGCAAAUUUACCCUGGCAGCAUAUGGGUGAAAACGCUGGAGAUUUCCAGAGACUCCAGAAAACCGAGCUCUGAGGGAGGAGAACCAAGCCCUGAGGGAAUGCAAUUCACAAGCAGCUUCGGAUGACAGCGGCUCACUUCAAGAGCAGGUGAAGCAAGUAGGGACAAUGUUGAAGACGUUUGCUCUCACUGGACAAUCAGGUGCGUUACCUGAAAGGUAAGAGGGAGCUGAGAGGGACCCACAGACGACCCCUUAAACCUUGGCUGACUACUGGCACCUCAGCAUCACUGAACUGGAACACUUUCUUUAUCCUGCAGUCAGUAACAUCAAGAAGCCAGAAGUGCCAGACUACACUCACCAAAUCCACCCUGUUUUUUUUUUGUAUUUUAACUUUAGUAUUGGCUUAUUUCAUUCCGUCAGUGCUUAACGAUUCUAUUAUAGUUUGUAAAUCCUAUUUCAUACCUGUUACUUGAUAUUGCACAUUAACUAGUACCAAAAUUCUACUUUCAUUCCAUCAGUGUGCUUAACUGUUAUUCUAUUAAUAAUAGCUUGGAAAUACUAUUUCAUACCUCUGAUACUUGAUAUUGCACAUUACCUGGUACCAAAUAUUCUACUUACUCUGUUUUUAACAUCAGCAUUUUUCAUUCUGUCACAGUGCUUAACUGUUAUUCUAUUGUUAAAUAUAGCUUUUAAAUCCUUGUGCCACAGGUCAGCAUUGCAGUUAUAAUGGUCUGUUCUGCUACUGUUUUUACCUCCGUAUUUUUAUAUAAAUAUAUAUGUCAAGUUUUGUUUAUCACAGAUACUAGAGACACAGAUCUUAUUGCAGCACGGUGUAAAUCUUGUGCUCCAGGUCAGCAAUGCCAUUAUAAUGGUCUAUUCUACUCUAGAGCUUUACUCCAAAUUAUUACCACUUUUCCUAUUGUUAGAAAUGGCUUGAAAAUGUGAUGUUAUACCUCGAUUUAUUUGGUAUCCUGCACAUUCUUUGGUAACAAAUGUUUACUGGUAAUUAUUUUCAUCCCAGAGCUGACCUCUUUAUAUUAUUAACAAUUAUUGUGUUUGUGUUAUAAUUUGCUUGUAUGGCUGUUUUUUUUUUUAACCAAAAUUUUAUUGGAAACCUGCAUGUGCUGUAGUGUGUAUUUAUAUGUAUAUUUCAGUGAUCUGACACAUCUUGUUUGAAAGACAGUUACUGUACUUUGAAAUGUGGAAUUAAAACAC
Molecule: long non-coding RNA, 1581 nt
Organism: Esox lucius (northern pike)
Lineage: Eukaryota; Metazoa; Chordata; Actinopteri; Esociformes; Esocidae
Source: Ensembl